This 325-nucleotide unclassified non-coding RNA is filed under the name uncultured fungus. RNAcentral describes it as "partial contains small subunit ribosomal RNA, internal transcribed spacer 1, and 5.8S ribosomal RNA". The stretch from base 1 to 73 matches the Rfam family "Eukaryotic small subunit ribosomal RNA", at positions 1759 to 1831 of the family's 1831-position model. The record is from RNAcentral. Lineage: Eukaryota; Fungi.
CCAAACUUGGUCAUUUAGAGGAAGUAAAAGUCGUAACAAGGUUUCCAUAGGUGAACCUGCGGAAGGAUCAUUACUAAAUUAUCCACCAAAAAACGGAUAAUUUUUAUCCAUAUCCACCUUGUGUGAAUUCAUUGACGUGUUUGUUGGCAGGUUAUACCUUCUCUCCUAGGAGAGCUGCGUGAUUGUCACUUUUUCAAUCGGCCUGCCAAUUUUAUUUAUCUGUAAACUUGUCUAAACAUUAUUCGUCUGAAAUUAUAUAUCAAUAAUAACAAAUACAACUUUCAACAACGGAUCUCUUGGCUCUCGCAUCGAUGAAGAACGCAGC